AUGUGGCUUAGUGGUAGAGUGCUUGCCUAACACGCAUGAGGCCCUAGGUUCGAUUCUUUGGUAACAUA
This 68-nucleotide transfer RNA is filed under the name Dipodomys ordii (Ord's kangaroo rat). It matches the Rfam family "tRNA". Rfam says of the family: Transfer RNA (tRNA) molecules are approximately 80 nucleotides in length. Their secondary structure includes four short double-helical elements and three loops (D, anti-codon, and T loops). Further hydrogen bonds mediate the characteristic L-shaped molecular structure. tRNAs have two regions of fundamental functional importance: the anti-codon, which is responsible for specific mRNA codon recognition, and the 3' end, to which the tRNAs corresponding amino acid is attached (by aminoacyl-tRNA synthetases). tRNAs cope with the degeneracy of the genetic code in two manners: having more than one tRNA (with a specific anti-codon) for a particular amino acid; and 'wobble' base-pairing, i.e. permitting non-standard base-pairing at the 3rd anti-codon position. The record is from Rfam by way of RNAcentral. Lineage: Eukaryota; Metazoa; Chordata; Mammalia; Rodentia; Heteromyidae.